GGCACCACCUUAUUAAUAUUUGGAUGCGCUUGUAUAAGAUUAAGAAACAGAAGGUGUUUAAAAGUUAGAAAAUACACUCAAAACCAGUGGGUCCAAAUCUAAAUUUAUUUAACCCUCAAGACCCUCAAACUUUGACACCCUAAAUCUCUAUCCAGCUGGUCAUUUUUUUCUUUAGGGUAUCUACAUACAAGAGUGAAGUCAUACAUUUUAGAUAUGCAAAUUUAACUCUCUCUUUGAAGGAAAGAAGGGAGAGAAGGAGGAAUUUUAAUAGAAGUAGGGCUUCUGUUUCAGUGACCAUAAUAAGCAUGCAGGGGAUGAUAUGAAUCUGCUGUUCCUGUUCCCUCGUUUUUCCCAGCUCUGUGUUUUGUGAUGAUAGUAUCAUCACACUAGAGCAUUUUAAGGGAACCAGCCAAUUCUCAAGUACAGAAAGGUACAUAAGUAGAGCUUAUACACCAUGGAAUGCUAAAAGCCAUGCAUGCAGGAACUAAUUUUUGUUAUACCUGAUGACAUGGAUGACCAUCACAGACAUAAUGGUGGGCCAUAAGUCAGACAAAGAAUAUACAGUGUGUGCUUCCACUGGUGUAAAGUUUAAAAUCAGGAAAAAUUAAUCUGGUGGUAAAUAUUAGAAUAGUGGUUACCUUUAAAGGAAGGUUAACUAGGAAAAGGCAUUAAGGAAUCCAUUUUGUGAGCUGCAAAUGCCCUACAUCUUGAUCUGGGUCGUGAUUAUGGGGUAUAAUAUAUUUUUAGAAAAUCAUGGAGUUUUAUCUUUGUGCUCUUGAUUUAAGUUACACCUCAAUAAAAAGGUGGGAAAACAAUGCCUAUAUCCAUAAAUUUUGAUUUAUUAGUCUGGAGUGGGACCCCAAGCAGAGAUAAUUUUUUAAAUGUCUUCCAGAUAAUUCUAUAUGCAGCCAAGGUC
RNAcentral lists this long non-coding RNA (916 nucleotides) under Marmota monax (woodchuck). Lineage: Eukaryota; Metazoa; Chordata; Mammalia; Rodentia; Sciuridae. The record is from RNAcentral.